RNAcentral lists this small RNA (594 nucleotides) under Pongo abelii (Sumatran orangutan). RNAcentral's name for it is "retained intron". Lineage: Eukaryota; Metazoa; Chordata; Mammalia; Primates; Hominidae. The record is from RNAcentral.
AAGCAAAGGGGACAAAAGCUUGUGAGGUUCACUUUAUUCUUCCUCUUUCUCUCAGGGGACAUGUUGAUCUGACAAUGCUAGGAGCGAUGCAGGUUUCCAAAUAUGGUGACCUGGCUAACUGGAUGAUACCUGGGAAGAUGGUGAAAGGAAUGGGAGGUGCUAUGGAUUUAGUGUCCAGUGCCAAAACCAAGGUGGUGGUCACCAUGGAGCAUUCUGCAAAGGGAAAUGCACAUAAAAUCAUGGAGAAAUGUACAUUACCAUUGACUGGAAAGCAAUGUGUCAACCGCAUUAUUACUGAAAAGGCUGUGUUUGAUGUGGACAAGAAGAAAGGGUUGACUCUGGUUGAGCUCUGGGAAGGCCUGACAGUGGGUGACAUACAGAAGAGUACUGGGUGUGAUUUUGCCGUUUCACCAAAACUCAUGCCAAUGCAGCAGAUCGCAAAUUGAAAUAUGGAUAUUUGUACCAGGCUGCAUGUUUUUCAGUUUAAACACAUAGGAUUUAAUUGAAAGGACAUCAAUAAUCAUAAUUGUGUAUUUAACAGGUGGUUUUUGAUUAGUUUUCUUGUGUUUCAGACUUUAUGCAGCCAUAUAAACU